Molecule: ribosomal RNA, 439 nt
Filed under: uncultured bacterium
Lineage: Bacteria
Description: partial 16S ribosomal RNA
Rfam family: Bacterial small subunit ribosomal RNA
Source: RNAcentral
CUACGGGAUGCAGCAGUGAGGAAUAUUGCACAAUGGAGGAAACUCUGAUGCAGCAACGCCGCGUGGAGGAUGACGCACUUCGGUGUGUAAACUCUUUUUAUAUGUCAAGAAAAUGACGGUAGCAUAUGAAUAAGCACCGGCUAACUCCGUGCCAGCAGCCGCGGUAAUACGGAGGGUGCAAGCGUUACUCGGAAUCACUGGGCGUAAAGGACGCGUAGGCGGGAUAUCAAGUCAGGUGUGAAAUCCUACAGCUUAACUGUAGAACUGCACUUGAAACUGGUAACCUAGAGUAUGGGAGGGGGGGAUGGAAUUAGUGGUGUAGGGGUAAAAUCCGUAGAUAUCACUAGGAAUACCUAAAGCGAAGGCGAUCUCCUGGAACAUAACUGACGCUAAGGCGUGAAAGCGUGGGGAGCAAACAGGAUUAGAUACCCCCGUAGUC